Molecule: long non-coding RNA, 4687 nt
Filed under: Homo sapiens (human)
Lineage: Eukaryota; Metazoa; Chordata; Mammalia; Primates; Hominidae
Description: non-protein coding MIR9-3HG:31
Source: RNAcentral
UUCCUCAGAAGAAAUCAGAUGCUGUUCAGAGCACGAAGGCUAGAAUUUUACCCUGGUUCUCAUGCUACCUUGCACCCAGGUUGGAUCCUGAGUACAGUUUUUGGCAGGUGGGCCUGCAUAUAAGUUAGCAAUGGGGGAUACCCAGCUGCCUCUCUUCAUACAGCUGAGGUUUUGGGGAGUCAUUCUUAUAGCCCCUGGGUUGGGCCUAGUCCUGCAAAUGAAUUCACCAGCCCUAAAGCCCAAAUUGCAGCCUCUGUCAUUCACCUUCCAGGAGUGGAAAGGGCAGUAAGUUUCAUCUUAUUAUUAUUGCUAUUUUGGUGGUUUUGUUGAGGUUGGUGUGUGUAUGUUAGUAAGAUAAAGCUCUCAGAAAUUACAUAGCAUUUGUCAAGGAUAUAAGAGGGACUGUGCCACAUCUGGCUGUAUAGAAGGUGGUUCCAUAUCUUUAAAUAGAGCCCCAGGUCCUUAGCCACCAGAAAGGUUUUCAGGGGAAGUGUGCACCCUCAGCAGCUGCUGCUGGUGGGCAGGAUGGGCACGCAUGGAACAGGCUUUCCUCUGUGGCCAGGUGAGAAGCAGGUGGUGAGACACAGAGCAGUGCUGGGCUCUGCUUCUGAAGCCUCCAACCUUUCCUUCCCUAGGAAGCCCCAGAGAGAUUGGUGAGGGUGAUUUCCCAGGAAGACGCAGUGUGCUCUGACUUCUGUGACAGUGAGCAACGGGACCAGUGGAUGUCCAGAUGCUGGCAAUGAGUAGGCCUUCCCUACGCUGGGUGGCGUCCACACCCUCCGGCUUCCAUUGCCUGGGUCUCCUGGAGGUGGUUUGCUGGAUGAAUACCGCAUGCACAGAGGCUGGCCUUGGGUUUGAAUAUGGCAGCCAGUGGACAGCAUGUGCUUCAGUUAUGAGACUGCCCAGGAGAUGCUUCUUCCAAGGCAGAGCACGUGCAGAGUCCAGUGCUGGAGAGGCCGGGUGCGCAGUUGACCCAUUUCCAGUUCUGUUUUCCCUCUCAUGUUCCUCUGUCCCCAUCUAGGACAUGCUCUGGAGUCAGAAGACAGCGAAAAGAGAAGCAGAAGCCCCGGUGGCAAGAGUCUGAAGCUGGAAAGGAGGAGAACAUGAAACAUUGCUUGAAGACAAUGGCCGAGACAGCAGGUCCCACCCUGCACAGCCACCAGCAUCUCUCCCCUCAGCCCUGUCUCCUCUUCUGCAGUUGGGAUCUGCACAUUUAAGCCUGAAAUUGUCCUGUGAAGUGAAGUAUGAUCGGACAGCCUCUUUUCAGCUUUUAUGACAAUGGAGACAGAGGAAUUGUGGCUCUUGCCAAGGUCACAGGAUUGGAAUACAGAGCCAAGCCACCCCAGGACAUGCAAGAGCCUCAGAAGGGAAAAAAGCCCAGCAGGAAGGGAGAACAAGUAGCCUCUGUCCUGAAGUUGUAACAGCCAGGGGCCAGGAUGGAGGAGGAGGACCCCAUAAUCUGCCCAUCUGGGACUUGGCAGGGGACCUGGGAAAAUGUACCCCAACCCAUCCCUUAAGGGCCUUUGUCUUUGGCCCAUUGGCCUAGCAUCUACUUCUUCACCGUGUCUGUUCUUGUCACACCUAGUCAGGUCUGUUUGGGUCUGAGGUGCAUGGAACAUUCUGGGUAGGCCUCCAGCAAACGGAAGCUCUUCACCGUGUUUCCAGCCUGGGACCAAGGGCAGCAUACUGGCAAAGUUGCCAAAGCAAGGGACUCCAGCCUCUUAGGAGUUAAUGACUCCCUCUCCCCAGCUGUCCUCCCCUUGGUGCUCCUCUUCCUCCCUCCUCCUGCUCACAGCAGGCAGGGCCUAGACCCGGGAGCCAUGCUGCUGUGCUGUUGCCAGGGGAGCACGGAGGCAGAUCUGAGCUAUGCAGGGAAAAGGCCCAGCCUGUCAAAGUGUCUGAGAUGAACCGCCGCCGUCCCUGUGCAGCUGGGCUCAGACGUGUCUCAGCUCUUGUUCUGUGCCUGAGAAUGGCGAAACCCAGUGAGGUUCAAGGGCAAACUCGCUAUUCAUUAGUCAGGGGUUCUUGACGUCCCGUCUCUCCCAGGGAUGAGUUCCCCCCUCCUCUUUCUCCCCCUCCUAUGACACAUUCCUGGGUGCCUUUGGUGAGGACUGCACACCCUCCUCCUGCCUAGCCCCCUCUCCAAAGGCCCCUGAAUAAACUCCCCCCAAGGAGACCAGGCAGGGCAGAGACAAUGGCUGCAGGAAAUCAUUCAGGCGGGACAUGCUGGCCUGCCCUCCACCCAGUCCCCCUGUGGGCCCCACUCCCUUCUGAUUCAGGGCACCCUUGGGCCCCCAGCCUAUACAGGCCUGGACAGGAAGAAACCACUGGGAACCACCCUAAGGACAACAUGCUAGUCCAGUGCCAUUCUUCGCUGGCUCUGUGGGUGCCUUUGUGGCCUGUACCGACUGGCUGGCUAAUUUUGUGGUUUCUGUACCAUCACAUGCCUAUUUUAAGACACUCUCCAGCACUGUCGGUUAGGGAGUGUAAAUUUUGCAAUAUUUUCUGAAAUGUGGCAAUAUCAAAAUGUAAAAGGCACACAUACUUGGUCACAAACAAAUGGCACUAUUUACUCUGUGGGCAUAUUUGUAAAAGUUGCCAAAGAAUUAUAUACAAGGAUGUUCAUCAGAGCAUUUCUUUUGAAGAGUAAAGAAAUGGACAUGAACCUGUGGUCCGUUCAUACGGUGGAAUACCUAUGCAGCUGUAAAAAUCAGUGUGGUAGAUCUCCGUAUAUGAGUUGAUGUGGAAGGUUGGCCAGUUCACAUGAUAAGGUGAAUAGAAUAAGUUACAGAACAGGCUGUAGAGUAUGAUCUUAUUUGUAGAUGUUUAAAACUGAGUCAUAAGUAUGCUUAUAUACAGAUCGUUUCUGGAAGUAUGUACUGGAAGUCUACCUCUGGGGAGUGGGGAUGGGGGAGUGCACUCUUCUAUACUGUUAUAUUUUCUUUUCAUGCUCCUAAGGUACUUUUAUUGGAAGAUGUAAAGCGGUUCAAUGUAAUAGGCUUAACUUCUGUCAACUAAGUUGGCGUGGGUGCUUUAAGAGGGUGGUAGUGAUGUUGCUGGAGAAAGUAUCCCACAGUCACUGGUGGCUUCAGCCACGGGCCAUUUUGGGGCCUAAUAAUCACAUAUCAUCAUGGUUGCUAGUGUUAAUCGAAAACCUACUAAGUGCCAGGCUUACUGUCUCUGGGUCUUGCUUACGUGGAUGUCAUUUUUCCAGUUGCACCAAAUCGAAAGAGGUUAAUUGGUUUGUUGGAGUUCCUUUGUAGGUGAAGGGCAGAGCCAGGAGCUUGGCUAGGGACAGGGGAGGUGAGUGGGGGAUGGUGGAUAGGUCUUGGCUCCCAGUUUCCUUCUGGGCAGACAUUGCCCCUCUGCCCUGAGGACCUGCUUGUUUGGGGGAAGAGGCCUUUAGAGGCACCAGGGUCAUGCCAGGUGUUGGACAUGGUGAACUGGGAAGUGCUCCCAUCUGGCCACAGCGCAGAAGUAUCACCGUGCUGGGGGAUGGGGAACAGGGCUGUGAAUGGGCCUAUUUGCAUAAGCAGCAUGUGUCUGGAGAGAAAGACAUCACAGAGCAGAAGAGUGCGGGUGCCCAGGAGUGCACUUGCCACCCCUACUUCAUCCCUGAAAGAGUAAAUGGCCUGGAAGGUGUCUCUGAGAGGUAAUGCCGCACACCACCCUCCCUGGGGGCAGGGUCAGGCUACACCUGCCUUAGGUCGGGGGCUGCAGCAGCCUGAGAGCUCUCAGUAGGGCCUCAGUAGCCUGGGAGGGAGCAGGGGCAGGGGGCAGGGAAAGAGGCGUAAUGGGGCUGUCCAGAGGGGCCUGGGAAACCUGGUCCCUGAGGCCUGGGCACAGCUACAAUCACUUCAAAUUGGCUGUGGGGCCAGUGGACUGGGAAGGAAAAAAGCAAUAAGAGUGACCAAGUGCAGAAGGCUGUCAGGUCCCAGGUCACAUGCCUUAGUGCAGUGACUCCUCAUCAUUUUAUGGGGUGUGGGUGUCGUUGGUACACCCAUUUUACAGAUGAGGACACCGAGGCCCAGAAAAGUUAAGUUACAUGUCCUAAGUCACACAGCUUGUAAGUGCCAGAACUGAGAUCAAAACCAAGUCUCUUUGACUUUAAAGUCUGUACUCUGACCCCAAAGAGAUCCUGUUUGGCCACUUAUAGGAGGUCCCUAAAGCUGCAGACUCCCCUUGCCGGCACCCACAUAUAGAGACAUUAACCCUUCCCCUGCAGGGUCACCUCAAAUAGUCUUUUAGCUGGGCUUCUCCUGCAAUUCCACCUAAUGCCAUCCCCUGGGUUUUGCCCAAACCUGAACUGGGCAGUGGGGUGAGAGGAGGGGUUUACAGGGUUACAGAGCCUCAUACAGAUAGGAGCCCAUGGCUGCUGGUCAUCUGCAUUCCUGCAGGAUUGGCUGUUCCUUGGGGUCCUUGGCAGGAAAAUGAGGAUUGCUCCGAGGCCUGCUCCAGUACUUCCCAGAGGCUGGCCUGGUGUGGGGCUCUGGGAAGGCUGAGGCUGGAGAAGCGUAAGUAGGAGGGCAGAGAUGGCACUCAGGUAGCUUGAAUCACCAGGACCCUUCCAAGCCCCACAGGUUCUGAGGGAGUACUAGGGCCAGCUCUGGGAGAGGUCUCUUCCUAUGCUGUGAACCCCCUGCCUUUCUUGCAGCCUACAACGAAUAAAUUUUCUUUGCAAAGGCUU